Molecule: long non-coding RNA, 225 nt
Filed under: Vitis vinifera (wine grape)
Lineage: Eukaryota; Viridiplantae; Streptophyta; Magnoliopsida; Vitales; Vitaceae
Description: long non-coding RNA (VVIN_LNC001145)
Source: RNAcentral
UAAUGACCAAGUUACGUGAACCUUUAAACCAUAUUAAUUGCACCUUUAAUGAAAAAUAAUGCAUUAAUAAAAAAUAAAAUAAAAUAAAAUAAAGGACAAAUAAUUUAAGGAAAAAAACCCAAAAGAGAAACAUGAAUUCCUCAUUUUUGUCCUUUUUCUUUAAAUAUUUUUAAGAUAAUUUUUAAGAAAAUAUUUAAAAAAAAAAAAAAAAACAUUGUAUCCACC